RNAcentral lists this transfer RNA (35 nucleotides) under Colius striatus (speckled mousebird). RNAcentral describes it as "partial tRNA-Phe". Lineage: Eukaryota; Metazoa; Chordata; Aves; Coliiformes; Coliidae. The record is from RNAcentral.
GAUGUUAAGACGAUGCACCACCGCACCCAAAGACA